UAGUAAUAAUUACGCUUCAUAAUAUAAAUAUUAGAUGAUGAUUAAUUCAAAGAUAAUAAAUACAACAAUAACUGAUUCAUUUGUUCUUCUGAAGGUCUGACAGGGAGCUCAGCAAGAGAGCAGCAUGUAAACAAAGACUAAAUUACCUGACAGAGGAGCUCAGGAUCUGAAUUACACAUCAACAAACACUCGAACAAUGACUUAAAUACAUCAAGUACUGCUAGACGUGUGCUAGUGAUUUUACACGAGAAAUACACUGGAAGAUGACUUACAGAAUCAAGCAGCAUUUAUAUUGUGACGCUUGACUGGAUCUUUGAGGAGGAUGUGAGUUUCUGUCUGGAGAUCUGGACGAUCAUGAGGUUAUAUUCACACCUACAAAAUCAAACAUCACAAUUUUAUAAACCAAAGUAAAAUGGGUUGGUGUGAGAGAUUGAUCACUGAUUAUACAUAGUAAAACGUGACUGAUUAUUUGUAUUUAUAAAAAGUGUAAAUGCUAAAUUUAUGGAGUUAUAACUACUAACCAUUUAGAUUUUGUCUAUGGACAGUUUUUACUGAUUAAUAUAACAAGCACAUUUUCCUGAUCAGCUUGAUCAACUCGUUUAGAGCUACAUCAGGACCACAGAGAGAAAACCAGUGUUUUUUCAUGAGAUUUGAUUUACACAGGUCAUUCAGAUAUGAAUAAUGAGUGAAAACUUAGAUGAUGUGAGAAAAUACUGUGAUCUGUUUAAUAAGAAGCUUGGUUUCUAAGAGUAACUAAACAUUUGAUUUUGCUUUGCAAAAUGGAUCAAGUUUUUGAAGUGCUCAAAAUGCUGACAUCUGCUGGUCAAGACGCUGUAAAUACAAGGACACAGCCAAAAAAAAAAAGUAAAAUAACACUUUCCACAAACCAACUUCAUGUUUUCAUUAAAGUGUAAUUGUUUAAAUGUAAUCUACAGUUAAAAACAGUUAACUAUCACUCCCCCUUUUUAAACUGAACCUACAUUAUAAAAUUUUUCCGGUGCGUCAUUUAUUCAUGCAGAUGUACUCAUAUCCACAAGGGGGACCUGCCAACCCUGCUGAAAAAAACAAUAGAACCAAUCAUAGAAUUUGUAAUAGUUACUGGUUAUAAUGGGAAUUGUACUGUUUUUAAUGCAAACUGUAAUGGUGCCUCUUGGUCGCCUUCAAUUAGUGGCUUGUUAAAACCACUAAAUCCUAAUGGAAU
This is a long non-coding RNA of Cyprinus carpio carpio, 1201 nucleotides long. Lineage: Eukaryota; Metazoa; Chordata; Actinopteri; Cypriniformes; Cyprinidae. The record is from Ensembl.